Molecule: RNA transcript, 2349 nt
Organism: Papaver somniferum (opium poppy)
Lineage: Eukaryota; Viridiplantae; Streptophyta; Magnoliopsida; Ranunculales; Papaveraceae
Exons: 4
Source: RefSeq, a predicted model, not a curated record
UGGUUUGGUUUGAUUCCAUGAGAAACUAAUUGCGAUAAUUUUCAUAUUCACGAGUAUAAAUUUUCUACCAUUGCAACCCUUCUAAACAGACUGGGUACGGUGACGUAAUAAAUUCAUAGGAUUUCAUUAGUGAUCUCACAGUGAUUCCCACUUCUUAAUCUUCUUCUUUAAUUUCCCCCAAUUGUAUAUUUUGUUAUUUUCAAUUUUGUGCCCUAGAUUGAAAAUUAAAUCGAUUUCCCAAUUUUUGGCGGAAGGACCAAUUUUGCAGAAGAUUUCACGUUGAUUACUGGUAAGUAAUUUACAGUUAUAAUUGCUUAGCUAGAUUUGUUAGUAAUUGAUUGAUUAUGAGUCUCCAUAGCUUCAAUUUGCGUGAAAUUUGUUGAAUCCGAUCGAUUAAUUAGAAAUGAAAAAAGGUUACUCAGCUUGUUCUUCUGAUUCUCCUUCGUCGUCUUCUUCUUCUGCCACUUCUUGUAAUGAAGACAGGAUCAGAAACUUGCCAGAUCCUUUGAUUCACCAUAUCCUAUCUUUCAUCUACACUAAAUAUGCUGUUCAGACUUGUGUUUUGUCUACAAGAUGGCCAUAUAUCUGGACUUCUCUGGCGGUAUUAAAAUUCUGUGACAGUGUUCAUCGCGAAACAUGGAAUGAAGAAGAAUGUCGAACCACCAAGCGCUUCAUAAAGUUUGUGACAGACGUACUCAGUCGUCGUGAUAACUCUGAUAUGCAAAGGUUUUCGCUGGAAUGUUCUCUCAAUUAUUCGACUACUGAUAGGUUGUAUAAAUGCAUAAAUAGAUGUAUCGCCACUGCUGUCAGCCAUAAUGUUCAGGAGCUAUAUAUUCAGGUCACCCCUGAAUGGUGUUUUGAGAUUCCUGUUUGUCUAUGUACAUGUGAAUCUUUGAAGAAGCUGGAGCUGGAUGUGCGUGCUGCCGGUGAGGAUUUAAUUGGUUUCAGCCAUAUUACACUAGCUACCUUGUGAAAUGAGUUUGCCUCAGCUCAAAUCACUGUAUCUAAGACCCGAAGAUUUAAUGUUUACUGAUGAUGAAUUAACGAAUAAGUUCUUUCCAAGUUUUCCUACUUUAGAGUCGUUGGUAAUAGUUCUUCCGGGAUCACCUGAUUGCAGAUCAACUGAAUUUGUAUUUGAAGGUAUGGAUCUUAAACUUUCUUUGCCUGAACUCAAGUAUUUUGAGUUCAUUAGUGCGGAAGAUAGCUACCGGGGUUUGGUAAAAGGAAGUAAUAGUGAGGUUACACUGAAUGCUCCAAGUCUGUCAUCCUUCAUUCUGGACAGUUACAUGUCAACCAGUUUCACUUUAGAGAAUCUUUCAUCUCUAGUCACUGCUGAUAGCGAGAUAAACAUUUAUAGGGAAGAUGAAUAUUAUGAUGAGAUUCAAGAGGAUGUGAAAGAACUUGAUGCCCAGCGUUUUGUGGGAUUUUUCAGAGGGGUUCAUAAAGUGAAAGUCUUAACAUUAAGGCGUUCUUUCAUGUUGGCCUUAGCUGGAGCUCCUGAUAUAUUUAGACAGUCAGCAGCUUGUUUUUUACAAUUUACAACGUCUGGAGCUGUGGACCAACUUUUCGAAGGACUGCCUGCAUUCCAUAUUGUACAUAUUAAAGAUGUCUCCUAACAUAGAAUCUGUUUCCCUGAAGAUAUCACAGCCAUAUUACGACGAGCAGAAUCCACAUUUUAUUGAGAAAAGAAAAGAGUAUCCAUAUUGUGACGAGGUAAAGUUUAAUACAGAAAACAUAGGAGACUACUGGGACACAGGGUUUUCUUUGCGGUGCAUGAUAUGUCACCUAAAGUUUGUCAAGAUCAAAGGUCUUCUUGGGUGUGUUGAUGAACUGAAGUUUUUAGAGAUUCUCUUUAAACAUGCAGCAGUAUUGGAGAAAGUGGUACUAGCCAGUGAUUCUAGUAAGCAAGACUCACUAAGGAAGAAACGAAUGAAGAAAUUUAGCGAGAUGCUGCUAACUUUUCCAAGAGCAUCUAAAAAUAUCAUUAUCUUGUGCAGAUUUUGAGUAAGGUAACUUGGCCUAAUUUUUUGUUGCAAGUUGAUAGUUACUGAUUAAUGAAACUGGAUAUGGACCUUCAAUCUUAUGCUUGUUUUUGGUUCAAUUAAUGUUUUUUCCCUGUGAAAGAUCAUCAAUGAUUACAUGUAUCUUAGAUGUUCUCUUUCCUAGUCACUCUUCUCAGGUGCACCUUGGUGGAUCUGGGAUGGGCAAUUGCGGUCGUAGGCUUGAAACUUUUGAAAAGUGGGUUGUUUGCGCCAGAUAUCAGUUGUGUAAAAAAUUCAUUAGAUUUAAAGGCAUUCGAUAUCACUGUUUUAAGGUGAUUCUCCAUGGGAAUCCGCAGAGUUGUGGACU